UUAGCGUGGUAUGGGCAUUUAAUGAGGAGGGAUGAAUGCCAUAUAGGAAAAAGCAUGUUAGGAAUGAAUGUUGAUGGACGGAGAGCGGAUGGUAGACCCAAAAAACGAUGGAUGGAUUGUGUGAAAGAGGAUAUGAGAAAGAAAGGAGUGAGUGCUGAGGUGACGAAAGAUAGAGGAGAAUGGAAGAGAAGAACAUGUUGUGCCGACCCCACAUAACGUGGGAUAAGGGCAGGAGGAAGAAGAAGAUAGAUAAAUCAUUUAUUUGGCAGCUGCAAAAACACACAAUAUAAAGUUUAAAUCAUCAUAA
Molecule: long non-coding RNA, 307 nt
Organism: Cydia pomonella (codling moth)
Lineage: Eukaryota; Metazoa; Arthropoda; Insecta; Lepidoptera; Tortricidae
Exons: 2
Source: RefSeq, a predicted model, not a curated record